Molecule: ribosomal RNA, 1537 nt
Filed under: uncultured prokaryote
Description: partial 16S ribosomal RNA
Rfam family: Bacterial small subunit ribosomal RNA
Source: RNAcentral
AGAGUUUGAUCAUGGCUCAGAUUGAACGCUGGCGGCAGGCCUAACACAUGCAAGUCGAGCGGUAACAUUUCAAAAGCUUGCUUUUGAAGAUGACGAGCGGCGCACGGGUGAGUAACGCGUGGGAAUCUACCUAGUAGUGGGGGACAACAGUUGGAAACGACUGCUAAUACCGCAUACGUCCUAAGGGAGAAAGCGGGGGAUCUUCGGACCUCGUGCUAUUAGAUGAGCCCGCGUAAGAUUAGCUAGUUGGUGGGGUAAUGGCUCACCAAGGCGACGAUCUUUAGCUGGUCUGAGAGGAUGAUCAGCCACACUGGAACUGAGACACGGUCCAGACUCCUACGGGAGGCAGCAGUGGGGAAUAUUGCACAAUGGGCGCAAGCCUGAUGCAGCCAUGCCGCGUGUGUGAAGAAGGCUCUAGGGUUGUAAAGCACUUUAAGCGAGGAGGAAAGGAUUGUAGUUAAUAGCUGCGAUCUGUGACGUUACUCGCAGAAUAAGCACCGGCUAACUCCGUGCCAGCAGCCGCGGUAAUACGAGGGGUGCAAGCGUUAAUCGGAAUUACUGGGCGUAAAGCGUUCGUAGGCGGUCUAUUAAGCAAGAUGUGAAAGCCCAGGGCUCAACCUUGGAACUGCAUUUUGAACUGGUAGACUAGAGUACUGUAGAGGGUGGUGGAAUUUCCAGUGUAGCGGUGAAAUGCGUAGAGAUCUGAAGGAACACCAGUGGCGAAGGCGGCUCUCUGGACCAACACUGACGCUGAGGUGCGAAAGCGUGGGUAGCAAACGGGAUUAGAUACCCUGGUAGUCCACGCCGUAAACGAUGUCUACUAGCCGUUGGAGGACUUGAUCCUUUAGUGGCGCAGCUAACGCACUAAGUAGACCGCCUGGGGAGUACGGCCGCAAGGUUAAAACUCAAAUGAAUUGACGGGGGCCCGCACAAGCGGUGGAGCAUGUGGUUUAAUUCGAUGCAACGCGAAGAACCUUACCUACUCUUGACAUCCAGUGAACAUUGCAGAGAUGCAUUGGUGCCUUUGGGAACAUUGAGACAGGUGCUGCAUGGCUGUCGUCAGCUCGUGUCGUGAGAUGUUGGGUUAAGUCCCGUAACGAGCGCAACCCUUGUCCUUAUUUGCCAGCACGUAAUGGUGGGAACUCUAAGGAGACUGCCGGUGACAAACCGGAGGAAGGGGGGGACGACGUCAAGUCAUCAUGGCCCUUACGACCUGGGCUACACACGUGCUACAAUGGGCGGUACAGAGGGUUGCCAAGCCGCGAGGUGGAGCUAAUCCCUUAAAGCCGGUCGUAGUCCGGAUUGGAGUCUGCAACUCGACUCCAUGAAGUCGGAAUCGCUAGUAAUCGUGGAUCAGAAUGCCACGGUGAAUACGUUCCCGGGCCUUGUACACACCGCCCGUCACACCAUGGGAGUGGGUUGCUCCAGAAGUGGUUAGCCUAACCUUCGGGAGGGCGAUCACCACGGAGUGAUUCAUGACUGGGGUGAAGUCGUAACAAGGUAGCCCUAGGGGAACCUGGGGCUGGAUCACCUCCUU